GGAAAUGCAUUUACUUAUAAACCCUUAUUCAUAUCUUAUCUCAUCCAAUGUGAGACUCUUUAACACACAAACCUCUCACGUUAAGGACUAGAUAUCUGAAGAUAGUAGUACCCAGGAAAGUAUGCGGAUUUGAUGGCGGAAUCAAUGUUUGGAUGCAAGAAACAGUUUUAAGGCAUUUUGCAAUAUCGGUAGGAAACUGCCAACAUCUGCU
Molecule: long non-coding RNA, 211 nt
Filed under: Medicago truncatula (barrel medic)
Lineage: Eukaryota; Viridiplantae; Streptophyta; Magnoliopsida; Fabales; Fabaceae
Description: long non-coding RNA (MTRU_LNC006697)
Source: RNAcentral